This 1063-nucleotide long non-coding RNA is filed under the name Pogona vitticeps (central bearded dragon). Its description in RNAcentral is "lncRNA (ENSPVIG00000025004.1)". Lineage: Eukaryota; Metazoa; Chordata; Lepidosauria; Squamata; Agamidae. The record is from RNAcentral.
CACACACACUCUCCAAGGGUCUGGGAGUACAUUAUCUUAAUCAUCAUUAUUAGUUUUAAAACAAUUUCUACACUGCCACCAUUUUUUUUAAAAGCAAUCUGGUGAGACUAGAGAAGUGUGUAAGGGUAGAGGAGGCCAUAGCUACUGCAUCUUAUCAGCCAUACAAUGUAUAUACUUCAAUACAAAUAUACAUUUGAGUAACUUUACAUCACAGAUUCCAAUUGUAAACCCUCAGAAUGGCCAGUACAGCUGAACAAGGACCCAGUCAAAAGUGGAAACUCUUAUUUUACAGUGAGGGACACUGAGGCGAAGAGAUAAAUGAUAAGUGACUAGUACCAGGUCAGGAUAUUUGGCAGAAAUGUUUUCCUUUUUUUACCCACUCUUCUCCAUUCCAUUGUUAUUACCAAUCAUCCAGAGUUCUGCCAGUAGAACCCAGUCCACAUUUUGCCUAUUGUGAUUCUACAAUGGCAAAGAAAUCCUAUUGUUGGAUGCCUCUUCCUGAACAAACUUAUGAUUACAAUUAUAACACCAACAGCACAACAAUAACUUUGUCUUGCCUACCCAAGCAAUUUGGAGGAAACCCGAUUGAACCAGGGCAACGUCCAUUUCCCUGAAGAGACCUCAAGUAAUAUAGCAGCUGCUAUCCCUGAAGCAGCCAUACAAUAACAGAGUGGUAUCUUUCUCCACUCCGGCAUGUGAGACUAAACCCUGUAAUUACAAGGCAAUGCCUGCCUGCCUACUUUGGCAGCCUGAGAGCAAUGUGUACAAGAAUAUACCAGAGUUAGCAUCUUACAUGGCAUUUGCAAGCACACCUUAACAUUUCAAAAUGCCAAAGCUGGUGCCUCAGGCUCAGUGCCAUCUCUGUCCCUUUUCCUUUCCAUGGCCGGAACAGUGGGAGGUUAGAUGCACCUGUACCAAAUGCACUAAGUUAAACCUUGACAGAUUCAGAAUUCCCCUUUUCACCCAGUUCUUAACCAGCUUCUUAGGAAACUAUGGGGCACGUUUCUGUACAGAUGGCAUUUUUCAGCAAUGCAUAUUUUACUGGCACCCAGUGCAGCAACAA